This 1163-nucleotide long non-coding RNA is filed under the name Canis lupus dingo (dingo). Its description in RNAcentral is "lncRNA (ENSCAFG00020008513.1)". The record is from RNAcentral. Lineage: Eukaryota; Metazoa; Chordata; Mammalia; Carnivora; Canidae.
CUCUGGACAUCAAAGGUUCCUUUUGUCCCCUUCCGAGUGGCAGGGCAGCCAGGCCGCUGGCGAUGACUCAGGCCUGGCCCUGACGUCACCCACGCCGGGCCACUGGCCUCCCUCUGCAGCCAGGAAACUGGCUGGGGAGUGGCACUCGCAGCUGCAGCAAAUCUCAAAAUAGGGAGGCAACUGCCUCUCCUCCUCCUCCUCUCCAUCUCCUCACCGCACACCUUUCUUUUCUUCUUCUUUUUUUUUUUUUUUUUUUUUUUUUUUUAGCCUCAUAGAAGGUUUCGCUUGUAGAUCAACUUUCAAAAUGUAGGAAGUCAGAAUGAGUGACAUCAUCAGAAAAAUAUGUGGAGCUGAUCUCAACAAGAAGUGAAGAACCCAGAGCAAGAAAGCGGUUAUAACUCUUGAGCCCAGGGAGUUGGCAGCGUCUGGGUUUCAGAGGAGCCAGCAUCUCCGAGUUGUCUUGAAGUGAGACACUGCUAAACUACUCUUCUGGCUGUAAGAUCUGAAUGCUGUGACCACUAAUCUGUUGAACCAAGACUCUGAGGCUGAUAUGCAAUGUCACUUACAACAUUAAUCAGAUACUGCAUUUAAGUGCUGGUAUCAGUGGUUUGAUUUUCAGCAAAUGUGACAGUGGCCUUUGCAGUGGUCAGCUCCGGGCUUUGAACUCUCAGAGGAGGAAGGGAAAAAAAUUCAACACACCACCUCCUUGGUUGCAGCCUCAGAGAAACCUUGGAUGAGAAACUUCUUUUUUUCAAUCCUGUUUUCCUGUUGAUAAAUUCAGUUCUCGUGAUCACAGUACAUUCAAGCUGUUCUGCGUAUGAUUUUUUGUGUGUGUGACAAUUGCAUCUAAAACUUGUGAGCAAGAAGACGGAGAAAUCAGUUGGUCUCCAUCGCUUUACAUAAAAAUGGCUGAGUGUCUUGUCAUGGCUAGCACUGCAUUAAGUGAUACAUACAGGUAGGUCGAAAUUUGCAUGUUUUAUAGAUUUUUUUUGAGCCAUGAAGCAAGAAUUUUAGAUGGAUUAAAAUAUUACUUUUGGAACAAACAUUAAAUAAGACAGUUGUAAUUUUUUGGAGGGAGGGUAUUAAAUUGGAUAGGCUUUCUUAUUCAGAUACUAUAUCAAUAUAUAGCUUUGAUUAAGCUCACAAAAUGAUUCUGCUCUAAA